RNAcentral lists this long non-coding RNA (1727 nucleotides) under Manacus vitellinus (golden-collared manakin). Its description in RNAcentral is "lncRNA (ENSMVIG00005000038.1)". Lineage: Eukaryota; Metazoa; Chordata; Aves; Passeriformes; Pipridae. The record is from RNAcentral.
UAUGGUUCCCCAUAGAAGACACUCUUGGCUCAUUAUUACAUCUGGUGGCACAUUGAAUUCCUUAGUCUAUACAAAGUAAUGGUGGUUCACCUUCCAUUCUGUUUCCAACUACGUUUUAAAAUUUUUAGGUUUCUCAUAGAAAUGUCAUCUCACUUUGGCAUUUAAUACAAAGAAAAUAAGCUUGCUUCAGCAUGGUGGACUGCUGUAGCCUGUGGAGCUGAAAGCCUGAGGGUUUGGCUGUCACGAAAUCAAGGCCAACGAGCCACUCUGUGAGCAGGUUGCUAAACAGUGGGCUUGUCUGUCAGAUGUGGUUUGAAAUGCAGCUGGGAUCUUGCUGGGUUUCUGCAAGAAUCCCCUCGCAGUCUGAGCAAGUAUUAAUUUUCCUGCAAAGCAGAAUCAGCACCAUAGUAGGUGGUGUUUGAACAAGCUGUACCGGUGAUGUCCAUCUGUGUUGUAAAAGCACCAGAUCAGGGCAAAGAUAGGAAUGCAAGUGAAGAGAGAUUCAGGGUACCCAGCACUCAUAUCAACACAUCCAUCUGUAGCCACCUGAGUGUUGUUGCAGCUCCUGGGCAGCACCUGUAUUGCCAGUUCUGUCUGAUGGGCAGGGGUUCAGGAGCAGGAGCAUUGGGAGGAGCAUAUGGUGAGUGUCAUGGUGUUUGUCCUCAGUGCCAUUAAAUUAUUGGUGGUAGCAGUAGAGGGGACUGGGCUAAUCAGUGUUCUUUCAGGGUGGAUCCUUGCUAUGUUUUGUUCAAGGACCAGUGAGUUUACUUGUACUGGCAACCUUUCUUUGCUCUCGGGUCCCCUCUUAGCUAUUCUCCACUGAUGGCAAAAGUUAGCAGCCAGAGUGCACUUCAGCCAUGACCAAUGCCCUUCUAGAACAGAACUUGAGAGCAGGUUUGGGAAGAACGCUGUAUGGCAUUGGCUGAUUUGUUGUCCUAAAACUGGUCUCUGGCAGAGAUUUGGCUCUGAACCUAUUCAGGACUUGCAGAGACCAUUUUGAGCUUUAGGGGGCACCUCUUUGUUGGUACUUUCUGCCACAUGUGGAAGCCUUAUUUUGCUCCAGUUUACUGGAGCAUGUCCUUGGAAGCUUUUUCAAGUUCUUCUGCAUCUUCUCCAGGAGAGAAGCAUGCAAAUGUAUCCGAAAGUUCCUCUCUAAGAAAGUGUUCAUAGUUUGUCAGUCUUUGUUGUUGCCUGUUGUUUGCAUACCUUUUGGCCUGGACAGUUUUCUGGCUUAGAGGCACGUCUUUUUUUGGUACUUUUAUUUCUAUUAGUCACCUUUUGGUUUUGGAGAUGUGUAGCAGACACAUUUUUCAGGCACUUGUAGCAGUGUCAGGAGCAGAGAAACAGGCCAAUGAGUUUCUUAUUCUUGGGACAGGACAGUUGGGUUUUGUAGCUUACAAGCCAGUCUUUAUACUGUCAGAAUCACAGUUUUCUUUCUUACCCUCUGAGUAGUAAGUUAAGUCAUCCAGGGACUUGUGGUUAGAAUGUUUAAGGACAUGUUCCAGUCAAAGAAUUUGGUCUACAUAACUCUGCUUUCCAGUCAGAUGUUACACAAUAGUGAAAUCGAAGUCCCAGUUUAGUUUGAGUGGAAAAACAAAGCUUAAAUGAAAAAAGGGCAUCUUUCUGUAGGAAGUAGAGUCAGUUAGUAGAGACCCAUGAAUACCUGGUUUGAUUAUUAGUGUGUAUCAUGACCAAAAUAAAAGGUGUCUCUGGUCUAGGUGACUACA